AUUAAAAAGAAUAAUUAAAAAUCCAACAAAUAAUUUCUCUAAAAUUUACAUAUAUUAUUUAAGUUUAUGUAAUGAAAAUAAAUAAGUAUUUAACUAACUAAUUAUAUUUUUAAUAUACCUUCAAUAUUUCUGGUGAAUUCUAAUAGAAAUAUUUGAUAAUUAUUUACUUGUACUGAUCUGUUUUAGAAACUAAAAUUAUUAAGUAUUUCCUACCAAUUUUCCUAAAUAAAGUUCCAGCUUAAUAAAUGACAGUUUAAAUAAAUUGAGUAAAUUUCGCGGCUAAAGUGAUCACGUGUGCAGCUCCGCAGGGAAAAAAAAAAAUCUGCUUUCCUCAAGCAGCGACGUCGACUAGGCAUACACCUCACAGCUCCUGUUUCGUAGCUUAAUCGAAGUCACCUGAAGGACGGCUUUCCUCAGCAACGGCAAGGCCCGCACUCCUCUCAUAUCGUGUUAUGUAAUUUAGCCAGCUAAUACUAAUUAUGUUUGUAAUGUUUAAUUCAGAAGUUAAUUAUUAAGGAUUUCCUAACAAUUGUGUUUGUAUUUUGCGUUAUCUUAAGAAGUUUAACAGGUUUCGCGGCUCAAACAAGAGGCACCUGUCACUGAAGGACUGCUUUUCUCAGCAACGACGUGAACAGCAUUACUCGAAUUUCCUGGUUCAGCUGAUCUACCCGUCUUCGUACAAGCAGAGUUGGCAGAGGAGGUCAUAAAAAUCUACAUCCUUCGAAACAAUAAUGGGGCAGUCAGCGAUGUAAUCUUGGGAAUCUCAGCAGAGCCUGCUGCCAUCUUUCAGGAGUCACAUUGGAUUUGAGAUAUCCCAAGACCCACAAAUGCAGGUCCUU
This is a long non-coding RNA of Carassius gibelio (silver crucian carp), 839 nucleotides long. RefSeq lists it as uncharacterized. The record is from RefSeq and is a predicted model, not a curated record. Lineage: Eukaryota; Metazoa; Chordata; Actinopteri; Cypriniformes; Cyprinidae. The transcript is spliced from 3 exons.